UAAAAAAGCAGGGAAGAGACCCUCUAAAAAGGGCACCGAAGGUGCAAACCCAAAAUAUAACUUCAGGGUGAAACUCUCAGGUAAAAGGACCUUGCACUUACA
RNAcentral lists this non-coding RNA (102 nucleotides) under Anaerolineaceae bacterium. RNAcentral describes it as "Glycine sequence". It matches the Rfam family "Glycine riboswitch aptamer". Rfam says of the family: This family represents the bacterial glycine riboswitch. Glycine riboswitches usually consist of two metabolite-binding aptamers domains with similar structures in tandem. The aptamers cooperatively bind glycine to regulate the expression of downstream genes. Lineage: Bacteria; Bacillati; Chloroflexota; Anaerolineae; Anaerolineales; Anaerolineaceae. The record is from RNAcentral.